GAAAAUUUUUUGGUGACACAAUACAACUAUGGUUUCCAGAAAAACUUGAUUCUGAGGGUGAAAAUGUGACUCUUUCCUGUAACUACAGUCUCACUAGCGGCACUAGUGUUGUUAUCCAGUGGUAUCGCCAGUAUCCUCCAGCACAACCAGAGUUUUUACUUCUUGUCACUGAAUAUUCAAGCAAAUCUGAGCCCAAACUAUGUCUAUAUUCAGAAGCUAAAAAAAAAUAAAAAGUGUGGAUCUGAUCAAAUCCACAUAAAAGCAGCCUAUAAUUUAUGUUUCAUGGAUUAUCAUGUGUAACACAUUGUGCUGGUAUAACGUGCCACAAGAUGGCAGUGUUCUCAGAAAUUCACUAAGAACUAGCAAUGUGCAAUGAACAACAGAACUGAACUUUGGUAUAAUGUGGCUCAGAGAGGAGGGACUCAGUGUUCACAGAGCUGACAUGAUCUAAUUAUGUCUGACAGAGACUUUGGAAGAAUCUAUUCAGUCUGACUCUUCUCAGAGUGAACACUUGCACAAUGGAUCUUCAUUCAGUUAUUCUGUUCUGUGCCUUAGAAGCUGCUGUCUUUGGAAAUGUUAUCAAACCAAACAAAACAACUGUUGUUUAUGAGGAGGGUUCAAAUAUUAUAUUAAUCUGUAGUCAUUCCCCUGGAAAUUCAGAUUACCUCCACUGGUACCGUCAGUAUGGAAGAUCAAAACCUGAAUUUCUUGUACUCACCUACGGUAGUUCAAAGGAAGCUGCAGUGUCUGAUGUAGAUCCAAGAUUCACUGUUAAAGUUGAAAAAAGGGAACAAAACCAUGCGGAUCUGAAUAUCUCCUCUGCUUCUGUAUCAGAUUCUGCUCUGUACUACUGUGCUCUGGCGCCCACAGUGACAGGAAACACAUCAGCUCUCUACAAAAACCUGCUAUAAUGAGAGACAAGAGAGAAACACAGAGACAGCGAUGAAGACAGAGAGAAAUAAGCUGUAACUGUUUUGUGUACAGUAUACAUUAUUAUAUAGGUCAGAAAAACUAAUAUAACCAAUGAAAAUAUAUCACAGGCAGCUACUAAAAUCUAAUAGUAGACAAAUCAUUUAACUAGAAUAUGAAAAAACAAACAAAAUACCAAAAAAAAAAAAAAAGUAUCAUUUUAAAGUAAUUUAAUCUUUGGCGAUAUGAAGAUGAAGUUUGUUAAAAUCCCACAGGACUGUCUUACAUUUUUUUUUUUUUUUUUGGUAAGUGCUGUCAAAUGUGUUUCCAUUUGUUUUGUAAACUUUGCUUUUACAAUCAGAAAUCAGUUUAUUUUUGCUUAUUUGUUGACAGGUUUUUGGCUGGAGACAACAUUGAGCCAGAUAAAGGGACAGAAAAAACCUCUAAAGGAACACAAACUGUCAAGCUGAGCUGCUCAUAUAGUACAUUUAGUGAUUAUGUUUGGCUUUACUGGUACAGACAGUAUCCAAACAGGGAACCACAUUAUUUGUUACCCAAGGGUGCACAAUCAUAUAGUUAUGAAGACACCUCUGAUGAUCGGUUUGAUUUGACUGCCCAGAGAUACAAAAUAUGAGACAUGUCAUACAAAAACCUUAAGCUCUUUUCACACACCACAAUCAAAACCCAAAUCUAUCCAUCCCAGAAUGUAAUAAAAUUUGUGGUAAGACCUGUAAAUUAGGCCGU
This is a long non-coding RNA of Cyprinus carpio (common carp), 1653 nucleotides long. Lineage: Eukaryota; Metazoa; Chordata; Actinopteri; Cypriniformes; Cyprinidae. The record is from Ensembl.